AUUGAACGCUGGCGGCAGGCUUAACACAUGCAAGUCGAACGAUGAUUAUCUAGCUUGCUAGAUAUGAUUAGUGGCGGACGGGUGAGUAACAUUUAGGAAUCUGCCUAGUAGUGGGGGAUAGCUCGGGGAAACUCGAAUUAAUACCGCAUACGACCUACGGGUGAAAGGGGGCGCAAGCUCUUGCUAUUAGAUGAGCCUAAAUCAGAUUAGCUAGUUGGUGGGGUAAAGGCCCACCAAGGCGACGAUCUGUAACUGGUCUGAGAGGAUGAUCAGUCACACCGGAACUGAGACACGGUCCGGACUCCUACGGGAGGCAGCAGUGGGGAAUAUUGGACAAUGGGGGCAACCCUGAUCCAGCCAUGCCGCGUGUGUGAAGAAGGCCUUUUGGUUGUAAAGCACUUUAAGCAGGGAGGAGAGGCUAAUGGUUAAUACCCAUUAGAUUAGACGUUACCUGCAGAAUAAGCACCGGCUAACUCUGUGCCAGCAGCCGCGGUAAUACAGAGGGUGCGAGCGUUAAUCGGAAUUACUGGGCGUAAAGCGAGUGUAGGUGGCUCAUUAAGUCACAUGUGAAAUCCCCGGGCUUAACCUGGGAACUGCAUGUGAUACUGGUGGUGCUAGAAUAUGUGAGAGGGAAGUAGAAUUCCAGGUGUAGCGGUGAAAUGCGUAGAGAUCUGGAGGAAUACCGAUGGCGAAGGCAGCUUCCUGGCAUAAUAUUGACACUGAGAUUCGAAAGCGUGGGUAGCAAACAGGAUUAGAUACCCUGGUAGUCCACGCCGUAAACGAUGUCUACUAGCCGUUGGGGUCCUUGAGACUUUAGUGGCGCAGUUAACGCGAUAAGUAGACCGCCUGGGGAGUACGGCCGCAAGGUUAAAACUCAAAUGAAUUGACGGGGGCCCGCACAAGCGGUGGAGCAUGUGGUUUAAUUCGAUGCAACGCGAAGAACCUUACCUGGUCUUGACAUAGUGAGAAUCCUGCAGAGAUGCGGGAGUGCCUUCGGGAAUUCACAUACAGGUGCUGCAUGGCUGUCGUCAGCUCGUGUCGUGAGAUGUUGGGUUAAGUCCCGCAACGAGCGCAACCCUUUUCCUUAUUUGCCAGCGGGUUAAGCCGGGAACUUUAAGGAUACUGCCAGUGACAAACUGGAGGAAGGCGGGGACGACGUCAAGUCAUCAUGGCCCUUACGACCAGGGCUACACACGUGCUACAAUGGUAGGUACAGAGGGUUGCUACACGGCGAUGUGAUGCUAAUCUCAAAAAGCCUAUCGUAGUCCGGAUUGGAGUCUGCAACUCGACUCCAUGAAGUCGGAAUCGCUAGUAAUCGCAGAUCAGAAUGCUGCGGUGAAUACGUUCCCGGGCCU
This 1355-nucleotide ribosomal RNA is filed under the name uncultured bacterium. Its description in RNAcentral is "bacterial SSU rRNA". It matches the Rfam family "Bacterial small subunit ribosomal RNA", at positions 28 to 1381 of the family's 1533-position model. The record is from RNAcentral.